Molecule: long non-coding RNA, 822 nt
Filed under: Panax ginseng (ginseng)
Lineage: Eukaryota; Viridiplantae; Streptophyta; Magnoliopsida; Apiales; Araliaceae
Description: long non-coding RNA (PGIN_LNC007200)
Source: RNAcentral
UCUGACAAAGCUGGAGAAACCGAGUAUUUGCUGUCUCUGCAGAAUCAAAUUAAGGUACUGAAGGUAAAUUUGUUUCUGAAGUUUUAAAUUAUAUUCUCCCAUAUAUCACACAAUUAGGGGGACUGACUUUUGGGGAUGGCAAAAACUGAUUGCAUUAGUUAUUUUCCUGAUUGUAUGGGUGCAAUAUCAUGCACAUACAAAAAAUUAUGGUUCUAUUUCUAAAGGUCAAUGAAAUUUGAAUAAGAUUUGAAAAGUACCUUUUUAUUUAUUUCCACAACUUGAUUUUAUUCAUCAUUCGCUGUAGGCUGUAGUAGCAAUACAGUGAAAAUUCCUAUCUCAUUCAAUGUUCUACUGAUAGCAGGGAAUUUCACACAUGGUUAAAUGUGUUUGUGGAGUGGAAUACAUGAUAGAUCUUGUUUGUGCAUAAUGAAGAGGUGACAUGUACACAAUUAUGGAUUACUCAACAGGCUGGAGAAAGAACUCAAAGGGCAUGUCUUAAAAUACAAUUCUUUUUUCAUCAUUCCAGCUGAAAGGUAAAUGCAACUAGUGAUUCAUAUUCCUCUAAACUAAUAGCACAUAAUAUGAUGGAACUGCUAUAGUUACUUGAUACUGUGAAAACUGAAGUAAUUCCGAAAAAUAUUUUCUUUCUAGCCUAUGUCUUCAUAUAUAUGCUUUUCAGAUAUCAUUCAUAUGACUUUAAAUCAUAUGCUACAAGUGGUAUAAGAGAUAUAUACGUGGGAAACAUUCUAAACAAUCAUUGUGUAAGAGCUUUAUAGUUUUAGUCUUUUAGAUAAUUGUUCUUUCCACUGUCCACGAUCCAAC